RNAcentral lists this ribosomal RNA (621 nucleotides) under Salmonella enterica subsp. enterica serovar Infantis. RNAcentral describes it as "partial 23S ribosomal RNA". It matches the Rfam family "Bacterial large subunit ribosomal RNA", at positions 711 to 1328 of the family's 2925-position model. The record is from RNAcentral. RNAcentral also lists the same sequence under 1 other name. Lineage: Bacteria; Pseudomonadati; Pseudomonadota; Gammaproteobacteria; Enterobacterales; Enterobacteriaceae.
AGACCCGAAACCCGGUGAUCUAGCCAUGGGCAGGUUGAAGGUUGGGUAACACUAACUGGAGGACCGAACCGACUAAUGUUGAAAAAUUAGCGGAUGACCUGUGGCUGGGGGUGAAAGGCCAAUCAAACCGGGAGAUAGCUGGUUCUCCCCGAAAGCUAUUUAGGUAGCGCCUCGUGAAUUCAUCUCCGGGGGUAGAGCACUGUUUCGGCUAGGGGGCCAUCCCGGCUUACCAACCCGAUGCAAACUGCGAAUACCGGAGAAUGUUAUCACGGGAGACACACGGCGGGUGCUAACGUCCGUCGUGAAGAGGGAAACAACCCAGACCGCCAGCUAAGGUCCCAAAGUCAUGGUUAAGUGGGAAACGAUGUGGGAAGGCCCAGACAGCCAGGAUGUUGGCUUAGAAGCAGCCAUCAUUUAAAGAAAGCGUAAUAGCUCACUGGUCGAGUCGGCCUGCGCGGAAGAUGUAACGGGGCUAAACCAUGCACCGAAGCUGCGGCAGCGACACUCAGGUGUUGUUGGGUAGGGGAGCGUUCUGUAAGCCUGCGAAGGUGGCCUGUGAGGGUUGCUGGAGGUAUCAGAAGUGCGAAUGCUGACAUAAGUAACGAUAAAGCGGGUGAAAAG